CAGUCGCCGCGGUAAUACGAAGGGUGCAAGCGUUAAUCGGAAUUACUGGGCGUAAAGCGUGCGUAGGCGGUGAGUUAAGUCUGCUGUGAAAUCCCCGGGCUCAACCUGGGAAUGGCAAUGGAUACUGGCAAGCUAGAGUGUGUCAGAGGAUGGUGGAAUUCCCGGUGUAGCGGUGAAAUGCGUAGAGAUCGGGAGGAACAUCAGUGGCGAAGGCGGCCAUCUGGGACAACACUGACGCUGAGGCACGAAAGCGUGGGGAGCAAACAGGAUUAGAUACCCGCGUAGUCCCUGUCUCUUAUAC
This 301-nucleotide ribosomal RNA is filed under the name uncultured bacterium. RNAcentral describes it as "partial 16S ribosomal RNA". It matches the Rfam family "Bacterial small subunit ribosomal RNA", at positions 509 to 807 of the family's 1533-position model. The record is from RNAcentral.